GAUGUGUCAUCUUCUUCUUGGGGAAUUCUCCAAUCACCCCAAAUACUGUCUCUCAAUUCCUUAGCCUUAACAGCACCAGAAGAUAUAAUGCGAUACGGAUCCGAUCCUUUCUGGUAUCGUUAAUCCAGCUCAAAUCAUCGUGGUAGGUGUGUGUGUGUGUGAAGAAUGAAGAUGCCUCAAGGGUUUGGGCGUUUUGUUUCUGUUUCUGGUCUGUCAUAUCAAAAUCAAAGAACUAAAUCCAGGUGGGCAAUGGUUUUGUUGUUUGCGUGGAGGAUUUUAUAAAAGCUGAUGGAUCAAAAGCAUGAGUUGCGUGAGAGAGUGAUGAGCUCAAUAUAAUCUAAACAUGUUGUUGCAAAUUUCUCGAGGAAGCUUUUGUAACGGCCAAUAGGAGUGAGCAGAGGUUGAACAAGUUGGUGGGUUUUCCUAUACAUGACCCUUAAGUGCAUUGGUGAUGAUGAAUCCAUUUCACUAGUCCCAUUCCCACUUUUCAAUCAUAUUUGUUCUUAAUAUCAAAUUGUGCAAUUAGAAAAAGAGUUUUUAUUUUCUUCCCUUGA
Capsella rubella is the source of this 554-nucleotide long non-coding RNA. RefSeq lists it as uncharacterized. The record is from RefSeq and is a predicted model, not a curated record. The transcript has 3 exons. Lineage: Eukaryota; Viridiplantae; Streptophyta; Magnoliopsida; Brassicales; Brassicaceae.